CUGAUGUCUGGUAACCAUCUUAUCUUCUUUUGAGAGUUACACGUCUUUAAUUAGUGUUCUUGCCUGCUAAUUGAGACUCAAUUUAUUGUUACCUGGUAGUUUAAGACGAGCACAAGUAACAAGUAACUGCCAUGUGAACUCACUACAGAGAAUGCUUCCGAUCAGAUCUUCAAGAAGUCUUGUGGGGAAUUGAUUGAAAGGGGAAGGUGUAGUACGUCUGAUUAGCAACGCUUAACUUGGUCUAUUACUUCUUUGCAGAUGUUCACGGUAUUACACAGGAAGACACUGUCAAGUAAAUCGCAACUUGCCAGUACCUCCAACGCCAACCACUUCUGCAACUAGCGAUGGUCUUGGAUGGCGACAAGGCCAAGAGGAAGAGGAUAUUGGUGUGACUGUAGGUAUUUCAGUAACAGUUGUGAUACUCAUCUUAGCCGUUGGAGUUCUUGUUGGAUGGCUGGUAUACAAGAGAAUACAAAGAAACAGUCGUAGAUCAAUGAACUUUGAUAACCCUGUGUAUAAGAAAACAACGGAAUCUACUAGCUCACUGGAUAGAAUUAGUAUACACUUUGGACAUUCACAUGGAAAGUGUCAGUCAUUAUUGGGAUCCUUCAGAAAUGAAGUAGAAGUGAGCAAUUGCUAGCAUUUCCAUGGAUAUCCUGUCAGCAAAGGUCAAUUCAGUUGCAUGAAACUGUCACAAAGUUUGGUUUCUCAUUUAUUUAUAUGCUCUUCAAAUAUUGGAUUGACUGACACCUUGUGAG
Orbicella faveolata is the source of this 758-nucleotide long non-coding RNA. Lineage: Eukaryota; Metazoa; Cnidaria; Anthozoa; Scleractinia; Merulinidae. The record is from RefSeq and is a predicted model, not a curated record.